UACGUAGGGUGCGAGCGUUAAUCGGAAUUACUGGGCGUAAAGCGUGCGCAGGCGGUUUGCUAAGACCGAUGUGAAAUCCCCGGGCUUAACCUGGGAACUGCAUUGGUGACUGGCAGGCUAGAGUAUGGCAGAGGGGGGUAGAAUUCCACGGUGUAGCAGUGAAAUGCGUAGAGAUGUGGAGGAAUACCGAUGGCGAAGGCAGCCCCCUGGGCCAAUACUGACGCUCAUGCACGAAAGCGUGGGGAGCAAACAGG
Molecule: ribosomal RNA, 254 nt
Filed under: uncultured bacterium
Lineage: Bacteria
Description: partial 16S ribosomal RNA
Rfam family: Bacterial small subunit ribosomal RNA
Source: RNAcentral